Molecule: ribosomal RNA, 457 nt
Filed under: uncultured bacterium
Lineage: Bacteria
Description: bacterial SSU rRNA
Rfam family: Bacterial small subunit ribosomal RNA
Source: RNAcentral
UACGGGAGGCAGCAGUGGGGAAUAUUGCACAAUGGGCGCAAGCCUGAUGCAGCCAUGCCGCGUGUAUGAAAAAGGCCUUCGGGUUGUAAAGUACUUUCAGUCGUGAGGAAGGUGUUAAGGUUAAUAACCUUAGCAAUUGACGUUAGCGACAGAAGAAGCACCGGCUAACUCCGUGCCAGCAGCCGCGGUAAUACGGAGGGUGCGAGCGUUAAUCGGAAUUACUGGGCGUAAAGGGCACGCAGGCGGUUAAUUAAGUUGGAUGUGAAAUCCCCGGGCUUAACCUGGGAAUGGCAUUCAAGACUGGUUAGCUAGAGUCUUGUAGAGGGGGUAGAAUUCCGAUGUGUAGCGGUGAAAUGCGUAGAGAUGUGGAGGAAUACCGGUGGCGAAGGCGGCCCCUGGACAAAGGACUGGACGCUCAUGUGCGAAAGCGUGGGGAGCGAAACAGGGAUUAGAUACC